AACGAACGCUGGCGGCAUGCCUAACACAUGCAAGUCGAACGCGUGUAGCAAUACACGAGUGGCGGACGGGUGAGUAACGCGUGGGAACCUGCCCAGUGGUAGGGAAUAACUGCGGGAAACUGCAGCUAAUACCCUAUACGCCCUUUGGGGGAAAGAUUCAUCGCCAUUGGAGGGGCCCGCGUCGGAUUAGCUAGUUGGCGGGGUAAUGGCCCACCAAGGCAACGAUCCGUAGCCGGUCNGAGAGGAUGAUCAGCCACACUGGGACUGAGAUACGGCCCAGACUCCUACGGGAGGCAGCAGUGGGGAAUAUUGGACAAUGGGGGAAACCCUGAUCCAGCAAUGCCGCGUGAGUGAAGAAGGCC
This 362-nucleotide ribosomal RNA is filed under the name uncultured bacterium. Its description in RNAcentral is "bacterial SSU rRNA". It matches the Rfam family "Bacterial small subunit ribosomal RNA", at positions 29 to 416 of the family's 1533-position model. The record is from RNAcentral.